This 421-nucleotide ribosomal RNA is filed under the name uncultured Prochlorococcus sp. RNAcentral describes it as "bacterial SSU rRNA". It matches the Rfam family "Bacterial small subunit ribosomal RNA", at positions 40 to 509 of the family's 1533-position model. Lineage: Bacteria; Bacillati; Cyanobacteriota; Cyanophyceae; Synechococcales; Prochlorococcaceae. The record is from RNAcentral.
CGGCGUGCUUAACACAUGCAAGUCGAACGAACCUUCGGGUUAGUGGCGGACGGGUGAGUAACGCGUGAGAAUCUGCCCUCAGGAGGGGGAUAACGGUUGGAAACGACCGCUAAUACCCCAUAUGCCUACUGGUGAAAUGAAUUUCGCCUGAGGAUGAGCUCGCGUCUGAUUAGCUAGUUGGUGAGGUAAUGGCUCACCAAGGCUUCGAUCAGUAGCUGGUCUGAGAGGAUGAUCAGCCACACUGGGACUGAGACACGGCCCAGACUCCUACGGGAGGCAGCAGUGGGGAAUUUUCCGCAAUGGGCGAAAGCCUGACGGAGCAACGCCGCGUGAGGGACGAAGGCCUCUGGGCUGUAAACCUCUUUUCUCAAGGAAGAAGAUAUGACGGUACUGAGGAAUAAGCCACGGCUAAUUCCGUGCC